RNAcentral lists this ribosomal RNA (254 nucleotides) under uncultured bacterium. RNAcentral describes it as "partial 16S ribosomal RNA". It matches the Rfam family "Bacterial small subunit ribosomal RNA", at positions 74 to 334 of the family's 1533-position model. The record is from RNAcentral.
CAAACCAAAGCUGGCGACCGGCGCACGGGUGAGUAACACGUAUCCAACCUGCCUCAUACUCGGGGAUAGCCUUUCGAAAGAAAGAUUAAUAUCCGAUAGCAUAUAUUUCCCGCAUGGGUUUUAUAUUAAAGAAAUUCGGUAUGAGAUGGGGAUGCGUUCCAUUAGUUUGUUGGGGGGUAACGGCCCACCGAGACUACGAUGGAUAGGGGUUCUGAGAGGAAGGUCCCCCACAUUGGAACUGAGACACGGUCCAA